RNAcentral lists this transfer RNA (76 nucleotides) under Mycoplasmopsis maculosa. Its description in RNAcentral is "Mycoplasma maculosum tRNA-Phe(gaa)". It matches the Rfam family "tRNA". Rfam says of the family: Transfer RNA (tRNA) molecules are approximately 80 nucleotides in length. The record is from RNAcentral. Lineage: Bacteria; Bacillati; Mycoplasmatota; Mycoplasmoidales; Metamycoplasmataceae.
GGCCCCAUAGCUCAGCUGGUAGAGCAACGGAUUGAAGCUCCGUGUGUCGCUGGUUCGAUCCCGGCUGGGGCCACCA